RNAcentral lists this transfer RNA (62 nucleotides) under Sphingobium indicum UT26S. Its description in RNAcentral is "tRNA-Und (NNN) (tRNA-Und-NNN-1-1)". The record is from RNAcentral. Lineage: Bacteria; Pseudomonadati; Pseudomonadota; Alphaproteobacteria; Sphingomonadales; Sphingobiaceae.
AUGCUUGGGUUAAAUUGCUCCGAAGGCAAAGGCCAGAGGUUCGAAUCCUCUUGGGUGCGCCA